RNAcentral lists this ribosomal RNA (274 nucleotides) under uncultured bacterium. RNAcentral describes it as "partial 16S ribosomal RNA". It matches the Rfam family "Bacterial small subunit ribosomal RNA", at positions 523 to 796 of the family's 1533-position model. The record is from RNAcentral.
AUACGGAGGGUGCAAGCGUUAUUCGGAAUCACUGGGCGUAAAGGACGCGUAGGCGGGUUGGCAAGUCAGAUGUGAAAUCCUACAGCUUAACUGUAGAACUGCAUUUGAAACUGCUAACCUAGAGUGUGGGAGGGGGAGAUGGAAUUAGUGGUGUAGGGGUAAAAUCCGUAGAUAUCACUAGGAAUACCGAAAGCGAAGGCGAUCUCCUGGAACAUAACUGACGCUAGGGCGUGAAAGCGUGGGGAGCAAACAGGAUUAGAAACCCUUGUAGUCC